Long non-coding RNA from Calliphora vicina (urban bluebottle blowfly), 2474 nucleotides. RefSeq lists it as uncharacterized. The transcript is spliced from 2 exons. Lineage: Eukaryota; Metazoa; Arthropoda; Insecta; Diptera; Calliphoridae. The record is from RefSeq and is a predicted model, not a curated record.
AAAAAUGUCAAAACAAAAUAAAGAAAAAGAUUUUUGUAUUAAAUAAAUUAAAAGAAAUAAAAAGUCUGAUUAAAGUUAAAUUCAUUUGUAGAAGUAGCAGCUCUGCCAUUCUUUCAGCCCACACCUCUAACACAGAAUAUAUACUUUGUGCCUCUAAUAAAGCCCGCUCGCUGCCCUGGUACCACUUGCUUGCACUUUUCUUUUUUCUAAUAAUGAAAAUAAUAAUUAAAUUAUAUUUGUUUAAUUAAUAAUGCUACAAUUUUAUGUUUUUACUUACCUUUUUUAUAAAUUGCCAAAUUACAAAUUUAAAAUUCGCACCAAACAAACAAAAAAACAAAACGUGUAAACAGAAGAAAAAAAACAAGAAGAAAUAAAUAAAUGUCAAACUGAAUUACGAAUGUUGUCGUGUAAACAGGUUGAUUCGCAAUCGUAAUUCAAAACGCGAAUUAAGUAAUUCAGACUGCCGUGGAAACAUGGCAUAAGUCACGAACUAGACAAAGUUACACCAUUAACAGUAGCACCAUCCUUCAAGUCAGCACAUUCAUUUAAGUUAAAUAUUCUUUCUAAGCCAUUUAAUAACAUAGCAAUGAUAUAUUGCCGCUUUCAUUACCAGCCAGAAAAGCGUGAUUUAAAGGUAAAACUGCUAAAGAAGUUAGAACACCCCGGAAAUUUUCUGAACGUAAUUUGGUAACAUUGUUAGAGGCAUGAGAACUACUAAGAUCUGAAUAUAUGCCAAUUCGAUUUCCGGUGGUGGCAUAUACCAAUUCAGAGCCAAUAGUUUGUAGAAAAUGAGCUGGUUCAGCGGGAGGCCUAAAAGAAGUGACACAUAAAUAAGAAGAGUUUUUAUAAUAAAUAACAAAUGUCGACUCACCUUAAUUGAUAAUGCAAAAUACCAUCAUGAGCAUGCCACACCGCCAGACUGUGAUCCAAAGCAGAACUUAUCAAUUGUUGAUCAUUGGGUGCAGCCAAUUGCAACAAAUCACAUUCCAUGGGCCGCCAGGAAUUCAUAAUCAUGCCCGUGCGAGCAUCCAACAUGACUAUGGAGCCUGAGGAUAAACCCACUGCCAUCCAAUUACCCGAAGGUGCAACCGUUAAACAUCUAACGGUGCCAUUAUUUUGUGUAUUUGUACUAACACGCCACUCAUUGACAUACUGCAUGCAACGUGCAUCGAUAAUUUUUACUGAAGCUUCUGCUGUGCCGGCCACAAUCAAAGGAGACGGGGAUGGCAAACAUUUCACCACGGUUAUAGGAUUGUGUUUAGGUGAGUCCAGUAUGCCUAAAGGUCUUCCUAUGAAAGGAUCCCAUAUAUGAACACCAGAAUCACAAGAAACUACAAAACGCAUGUAUUCGAGAAAUGCCAGGGAAUGUAUGGAUUUCUUGUGGGCAGUAUAAGUAAAUUGGCAGGAGGUGGCUUUUGUACCAUCUCCUUCGCUGCGAAGUGACCACAAUUUAACUGUUUUGUCCUAAAGCAGAGAUUAUAAGUUAAGAUAUAUUUACAAUAUAUGGAAAAAAAACUCAGUAUCUGCUGUGCGAAUUUUAUAUAUAUUUAAAAAACAAGUCGGUCAAUCAUAAAAUGAAAUUUAUUUGGAUACCAAUAUUUUUAUGAGAUUUAUGCUCGUUAAAGAGUUUUUUGGAAGUGGGCCUUAUAUGGGAUGACUAUGACUAAUUAUGGAACGAUCUAUACUAAAUUUGGUAGUGCAAGUUAACCAUAUAUGUUGAAUUUUGUUUGGAUAUUUAUAUAAUUAAGAUAUUAAUGAGAACUUAACUAUUUUCUGGUAAAGCAAGGAAAAAUAAUGUACCGAUUCCAACCAAAUUCAAUUAUGACUCAGAGUGAUCCUGAUCAGAUUGGUAUACAUACUUUAACCCUCUAACCGGCAAGGCUGCCUUUAGGCGGGGUAUGUUAAAUGUAUGUAAUGCUGCUUUAUUUGCUUAUUUCUCCCGUUAUAACGGUAAAUAUGUGUAAAGAGACAAACAAUUUACUUGUGAUAAAUAUGAACGUGCACUUGUCUUUUGUUUUUUUUUUAUUCCAACGUAUUUUUUUUAUUCAAACAAUAACCUGGUAUAUUUGUUUACCUCAAAUUAAAAUUGGCCGGUUAGAGGGUUAAGGUGUAUGUUGGACAAUAUUUGUACACUAACCCAAUAUAACCUCCCCACUAUGGGGAGCUAGUUUCUUACUUGUCAGUUAAACUCAGCUUAACACGCUGUUAUAUUAAAAAUGAAACAUAUUUUGCCGGGAUUUAACCAAUGAUUGUAUUUCUCACUAAUGGAUUAAUUUUGUAAGCAUUGCCAUACUUUUCUGUGUAAUCACAUGUGCAUUCCUCAAAAUUUUUCAUAUAAAUAUGGCAAUAUGUACUUAAAAUUUUAUACAUAACUUUUUUGUAAAUUUUAACUUUGUAAAAGAAAAAGUGACAUUAAAGUAUAUAAAAUGUAUAUUAAAAAUUAUAUUGAUGUUAAUAAAGCAAAUCAAAACAAA